This 26-nucleotide non-coding RNA is filed under the name Cricetulus griseus (Chinese hamster). RNAcentral also lists the same sequence under 1 other name. The record is from RNAcentral. Lineage: Eukaryota; Metazoa; Chordata; Mammalia; Rodentia; Cricetidae.
GCCAUGCGGGAGGAGAAUGGUCUGAA